RNAcentral lists this ribosomal RNA (253 nucleotides) under uncultured bacterium. RNAcentral's name for it is "partial 16S ribosomal RNA". It matches the Rfam family "Bacterial small subunit ribosomal RNA", at positions 524 to 776 of the family's 1533-position model. The record is from RNAcentral.
UACGAAGGUAGCUAGCGUUGUUCGGAAUUACUGGGCGUAAAGCGCACGUAGGCGGGCUGAUAAGUCAGGGGUGAAAUCCCGAGGCUCAACCUCGGAACUGCCUUUGAUACUGUUAGUCUUGAGAUCGGGAGAGGUGAGUGGAAUUCCUAGUGUAGAGGUGAAAUUCGUAGAUAUUAGGAAGAACUCAAGUGGCGAAGGCGGCUCACUGGCCCGAUACUGACGCUGAGGUGCGAAAGCGUGUGGAGCAAACAGG